GGGGAAGUAGAUCAGCUGGUUAGAUCGUCACGUUGACAUCGUGAAGGCCGGAGGUUCGAGUCCUCUCUUCCCCACCA
Molecule: transfer RNA, 77 nt
Filed under: Bacillota bacterium
Lineage: Bacteria; Bacillati; Bacillota
Description: Firmicutes bacterium (anaerobic digester metagenome) tRNA-Val
Rfam family: tRNA
About the family: Transfer RNA (tRNA) molecules are approximately 80 nucleotides in length. Their secondary structure includes four short double-helical elements and three loops (D, anti-codon, and T loops).
Source: RNAcentral